RNAcentral lists this ribosomal RNA (486 nucleotides) under uncultured eubacterium WR133. RNAcentral describes it as "bacterial SSU rRNA". It matches the Rfam family "Bacterial small subunit ribosomal RNA", at positions 9 to 527 of the family's 1533-position model. The record is from RNAcentral.
GAGUUUGAUCAUGGCUCAGAAUCAACGCUGGCGGCGUGCCUAACACAUGCAAGUCGAACGAGAAAGGGGCUUCGGCCCUGAGUAAAGUGGCGCACGGGUGAGUAACACGUGACUAACCUACCCUUGAGUGGGGAAUAACUUCGGGAAACCGAGGCUAAUACCGCAUAAUACCUACGGGUCAAAGGAGCAAUUCGCUUAAGGAGGGGGUCGCGGCAGAUUAGUUAGUUGGCGAGGUAAUGGCCCACCAAGACGGUGAUCUGUAUCCGGCCUGAGAGGGCGCACGGACACACUGGAACUGAAACACGGUCCAGACUCCUACGGGAGGCAGCAGUGGGGAAUUUUGCGCAAUGGGGGAAACCCUGACGCAGCAACGCCGCGUGGAGGAUGAAGUCCCUUGGGACGUAAACUCCUUUCGAUCGGGACGAUUAUGACGGUACCGGAAGAAGAAGCCCCGGCUAACUUCGUGCCAGCAGCCGCGGUAAUACG